GACGAAGGUGGCGAGCGUUGUUCGGAAUCACUGGGCAUAAAGCGCACGUAGGCGGCCAACUAAGUCAGACGUGAAAUCCCUCGGCUUAACCGGGGAACUGCGUCUGAUACUGGAUGGCUAGAGGUUGGGAGAGGGAUGCGGAAUUCCAGGUGUAGCGGUGAAAUGCGUAGAUAUCUGGAGGAACACCGGUGGCGAAGGCGGCAUCCUGGACCAAUUCUGACGCUGAGGAGCGAAAGCCAGGGGAGCAAACGGG
Molecule: ribosomal RNA, 253 nt
Filed under: uncultured bacterium
Lineage: Bacteria
Description: partial 16S ribosomal RNA
Rfam family: Bacterial small subunit ribosomal RNA
Source: RNAcentral